RNAcentral lists this long non-coding RNA (1509 nucleotides) under Homo sapiens (human). Its description in RNAcentral is "non-protein coding lnc-RABIF-1:6". Lineage: Eukaryota; Metazoa; Chordata; Mammalia; Primates; Hominidae. The record is from RNAcentral.
GGACGAUCCGAUCUCUGUCCAGCUGCGACCCAAUGGGAGUCCCCGCCAGGAGACACAACCGGCGGCUCUCCGGGGAUUUAUAAGGUCCCGCCAGCAACCGCGCGUUGGGAUUCGUGGUGUUGCUGGAGACCCGUAUGGUGUCUGCAGUCAGCGACCCUCCAACUUCAACUACUGGAUCAACCAUGUGUGAGUGCAUCUCCAUCCAUGUGGGCCAGGCCGGAGUGCAGAUGGGCAAUGCCUGCUGGGAGCUGUACUGCCUGGAGCACGACAUCCAGCCCAGUGGCACCAUGCCCAGCCACAAGGCCCUGGGGAGCAGUGAUAACUCCUUCAACACCUUCUUCAGGGAGACCCAGCCUGGCAGGCAUGUGUCCUGGGCUGUCUGUGGACCUGGAGCCUGCUGUCAUAGCACAAUGAAGUCGCUGUAGAGGGAAGGGACCACUGAAGGUGCCACCUGCUCUCCCCGUCUCAAGCCCAGGCAGGACCUGGCCUUAGAAGUGGGUCUCUGGUCGGGAGGCUGAGGCAGGAGAAUCGCUUGAACCCGGGAGACAGAGGCUGUGGUGAGCCAAGAUCGCGUGAUUGCACUCCAGCCUGGGCAACAAGAGUGAAACUCUGUCUCAAAAAAAAAAAAAGAAAGAAAAGAAAAAGAAGAUGCCGUGCAUCAUCACUCUGUUGAGCAGUUGUACCUGGGGAGGCUUAGCAGCAAAGGUUCUGGUGUCUGGCGUUCCCUUGGGGAAUGAACCAGCUUGUCUUACCUUUGUCCUUUCUUCCCCUCAAGAUGGGGUAAGAACUGACAUUUAUAGGCAGCUGUUCCACCCUGAACAGCUGAUAUCUGGCGUGGAAGAUGCUGCCAACAACUGUGCCCGUGGCCACUACACUGCGGGGAAGGAGAUCAUCGAUUUGGUGCUGGAGUGAAUCUGAAAACUGGUGAGCAGGCCUCUGGCACCUACAGGAGGUCGUUGCAUCCUUAACCCUCUUCCUGGCUGGGAGGCAACCACAGCCUGUGCUGGUACCUGACAUCAUUCCUCCAGCCUGUCAGUCCACUCAGCUUCUCUUAAGGGGAUAUGUGUUUUCUGUCCUGGGUACGGAUCUAGGGUUGGAAGCCUGAAUAAACUGCUCUGCCUUGAGUUUGUGGACUCAAGCUUCUGCCCUGAUGGUUCCUCGCUUUGCCAGGUCUGUCUGAUCCAAGCCUUCUUUGACCUUUGAUCCAUCUCUACAGCAGCUCAGCUUGUUGUUCUUAGACUCCUAUGCAGAUCUGUCCAGGUGGGAGGGGCUCCUGUUUAGCACUCAACCAUUUCACCAGUUCACCCUUCCCCUAUCCGAGGCAUUGAGAACCACCAGUGAGGCUGCCUGUGAGCCAGGACUUUGGCCCUGUUGCUGUAGGGGGAUUGCCUAGACAUACUCUCUGCUGCUCGGUAGAGACUGAGGACUUGGAAGUGACCUGAGGAGUAGGAUUCUGUGCUCCCUUCCUCAAGAAUGAAAAUAAAAUACCUCCUAGGGGUAGACUUCUUU